Molecule: non-coding RNA, 133 nt
Organism: Gossypium arboreum
Lineage: Eukaryota; Viridiplantae; Streptophyta; Magnoliopsida; Malvales; Malvaceae
Source: Rfam
UCUUAAAAGUUUCAUUUAUUUAUACAGUUAAAAAUUGAUGUGACUAAUAAAAUACACGUGGCAUGCCAAAUGUACUUUAUGCUAACGUACAAUGAGCAGUUUUUAACAAUAAAGAUGAAUAGAAUUUUUAACA